AUGUACCCCAGUACGUCUGUCUUUUGCUGGUUUGUGUGCUCUGCUCUAGCCUGUUUUCUCAAGCCUUCCAGAAGCCAGUGUCACCACGGUGUUUGCCUGUCCCUUCUGCAACAGCACGCCAAACUGGCUGAUUUCAGGGCACACAUGGGAAAGCCUGGGCGAUGGCUCAGCACCAGGACAAGGAACAACGCGCAGCCCGAAGGCUUCGCAAGGGGUUGUGCUCCCGAAGCAAGAAGGAAAAAGAGGGCUCGUAGCCCCAGGCAGAGCAAAGCAGCAGGGGAACCUUCAGCAGCAGCUGUUUUCCAGGCAGAACCGUCCCCCUGCCACCGAGGGCCCUCUGAAGAGCCUCGCUCGCCCGUUUCUGUGGGUGAUACACCCACGUGCUGGGGAGAUUUAGUGCCCGUGAGGAGCGGGAAGAAGAAAGCUGGGAAAGCCCUUGGCUGCCAGGAGAGUGGCAUUGCACAGCAACGGGGAGCGUCUGCCCUAAGGAGCUGGAGCAUCCGGCCUUCCUUGGCAUGCAGGCACAGGGGGGAAGCUUCAUUUGAAAGAAAACAUCCGAGCUCAGCGCCAGGCCAGCUUUGCAGCAUGCAGCAGGCGAGCAGGAGGGAUGCGAGCGGCGGGGAUCAGAGGAAAAGCUCACCCCAGGCGGAGGGGGCCGAGGAGCAAUCCACUGCAUGCCAAUUGCCAGAGUCAUCCCCGCGGUCCUGGAAACCAGCGCUGGGUCCUGGAAACGCUGCUGGAAGAGAGGCUGCACCAUAAAUUUUAAACGUAAGGCAGCCCCGGAGAGGCAAUAAAUACGUUUGCGAGCACA
This 811-nucleotide long non-coding RNA is filed under the name Anser cygnoides (Swan goose). RNAcentral describes it as "lncRNA (ENSACDG00005018599.1)". The record is from RNAcentral. Lineage: Eukaryota; Metazoa; Chordata; Aves; Anseriformes; Anatidae.